Molecule: ribosomal RNA, 253 nt
Filed under: uncultured bacterium
Lineage: Bacteria
Description: partial 16S ribosomal RNA
Rfam family: Bacterial small subunit ribosomal RNA
Source: RNAcentral
UACGUAGGGUGCAAGCGUUGUCCGGAAUUAUUGGGCGUAAAGAGCUCGUAGGCGGUCUGUUGCGUCGGCUGUGAAAACCCGGGGCUCAACCCCGGGCCUGCAGCCGAUACGGGCAGACUAGAGUUCGGCAGGGGAGACUGGAAUUCCUGGUGUAGCGGUGAAAUGCGCAGAUAUCAGGAGGAACACCGAUGGCGAAGGCAGGUCUCUGGGCCACUACUGACGCUGAGAAGCGAAAGCAUGGGGAGCGAACAGG